UACAGAGGGGGCGAGCGUUAUUCGGAAUUAUUGGGCGUAAAGAGCUCGUAGGCGGUCUGUCGCGUCGGUCGUGAAAACUUGGGGCUUAACCCUGAGCUUGCGGUCGAUACGGGCAUGACUGGAGUUCGGUAGGGGAGACUGGAAUUCCUGGUGUAGCGGUGAAAUGCGCAGAUAUCAGGAGGAACACCGGUGGCGAAGGCGGGUCUCUGGGCCGAUACUGACGCUGAGGAGCGAAAGCGUGGGGAGCGAACAGG
RNAcentral lists this ribosomal RNA (254 nucleotides) under uncultured bacterium. Its description in RNAcentral is "partial 16S ribosomal RNA". It matches the Rfam family "Bacterial small subunit ribosomal RNA", at positions 524 to 776 of the family's 1533-position model. The record is from RNAcentral.